This 599-nucleotide ribosomal RNA is filed under the name Priestia megaterium. RNAcentral describes it as "bacterial SSU rRNA". It matches the Rfam family "Bacterial small subunit ribosomal RNA", at positions 555 to 1153 of the family's 1533-position model. Lineage: Bacteria; Bacillati; Bacillota; Bacilli; Caryophanales; Bacillaceae. The record is from RNAcentral.
UGGGCGUAAGCGCGCGCAGGCGGUUUCUUAAGUCUGAUGUGAAAGCCCACGGCUCAACCGUGGAGGGUCAUUGGAAACUGGGGAACUUGAGUGCAGAAGAGAAAAGCGGAAUUCCACGUGUAGCGGUGAAAUGCGUAGAGAUGUGGAGGAACACCAGUGGCGAAGGCGGCUUUUUGGUCUGUAACUGACGCUGAGGCGCGAAAGCGUGGGGAGCAAACAGGAUUAGAUACCCUGGUAGUCCACGCCGUAAACGAUGAGUGCUAAGUGUUAGAGGGUUUCCGCCCUUUAGUGCUGCAGCUAACGCAUUAAGCACUCCGCCUGGGGAGUACGGUCGCAAGACUGAAACUCAAAGGAAUUGACGGGGGCCCGCACAAGCGGUGGAGCAUGUGGUUUAAUUCGAAUCAACGCGAAGAACCUUACCAGGUCUUGACGUCCUCUGACAACUCUAGAGAUAGAGCGUUCCCCUUCGGGGGACAGAGUGACAGGUGGUGCAUGGUUGUCGUCAGCUCGUGUCGUGAGAUGUUGGGUUAAGUCCCGCAACGAGCGCAACCCUUGAGCUUAGUUGCCAGCAUUUAGUUGGGCACUCUAAGGUGACUGCC